UUUAAGAAAGUUGUUAAAGUAGGUGUAAGUGGAGAGAGAAGUAAAUUUAUAGGGGUAGUGCUAAUAUGACUAUUAUAGCUCUCUAAUCCUCAAUUAACUUUUGAUGGCAAUAAUUUAACCUUAUUAAAAAUGUUGAAUUAAUUAUUCAACAUUUUAAUUAAGAAUUCAUUUUAAUUCAAAUUUUAAUUAAGAAAAUCAUUCACUGUUUUCGUGUGAAUUAAAAAUUUACUGAAAUUGAGGGUUGCUUAUUUAAUGAAUCCUUACUUAUUCCACGGCUGCAACCAAUUUCCAAACACCAAUUUCAAAAAUUAAAGUGUAUUGGCACUUGAAUUAAUUAUCCAACAAUUUAAAGUGUAUAGCAACAAUUUACAGUGUAUAGCAUCAGAUUCAGCGAAUUUAAAGUGUAUAACAAUUUAACUAAUGCUGCACAAAUUUCGAAAAGCACAAAGUGAACCAAAAUAGCCAAAUUUCAUUUCCCACCAAAAAUUUCCAUCGAAUUGGAGCCAAAUUCCACUUGUUUUUUUCUCCACUUACAUCAAUAAAUAAGAGAGCAUUUAAAGCCUAAAUGCUCUCUUUACUUCAAAAACUGAAAAAGUAAAGAAGAGAAAGAGAAGAUGGCAGACAAAAGGAAAAGAGCAAACAUGUCUGAAAUUGAAAGGAACAAUGUUGCACAGUGGCUGCUCCAGAACAGCAACGACUUGAAGCUUCGACACGGCGCGAAGAAAGAGGCAGCAGCUCUGUUCCAGAUCGAUGUGAGGACUGUAUGGCGACUAUGGACAGCAGCACGCGCACAAAAGAUGAUGGGAAGGCCUGUACAGCUCAUUUCAAUGAAAAAAGGAUCAAAACACAGCGAUAAAAAGGUACUCGACGUAGAAAAAGUAAAACAACUAUCCGUUCUAGAGAGAUCAACUAUAAGGAAAAUGGCAAGCAAGCUUGAAGUUAGUAAAAGCUUGGUUGGAGUGUGGAUAAAGGAAAAAAAGAUUAGAGCACAUACCAAUGCAAUUAAACCUCUUCUAACACUUCAAAAUAGGUUAAGUAGGCUCACUUGGAGCCUUAGUCAAUUAAGUGCAAUUAGUGCAAAUGGGAGAAUCAAGUUUCAGCCUAUGUAUGACACAAUACACAUAGAUGAAAAAUGGUUUUAUUUAACCAAAACAUCGGAUAGGUACUACCUGCUGCCGGAUGAAGUAGAGCCAUAUAGAGCAUGCAAAUCUAAAAGAUUUAUUAGAGAAAAUCAUGUUCAUUUGUGUGGUUUCAAGGCCACAAUAUGACAAUGAUGGUAAAAUGAUUUUUGAUGGUAAGUUUGGGAUAUUCCCAUUCACAACGGUUGAGCCGGCUGUUAGGAACAGUAAAAACAGAUUGAAAGGGACCUUGGAAACAAAGCCAAUUCAGGCAAUCACAAAGGAAGUGAGCAAAGAUGUUUUCAUCAACCAAGUGAGUUUUUAGACUAUGUUUUUAAUGUUUUUAACUAUCAGAAUGCAUUAUAUGCUUCAUCAUUUAGCAUAUUCUUAUACUUACCCCUUAAUGGACAGAUUAUUCCAACAAUUAAGGCCAAGUGGCCUCGUGGUGCAAGCAGGCAUAUAAUGAUACAACAAGACAAUGCAAAGCCCCACAUUAAGCCAACAGACCCUGACUUUGUAGCUGCUGCCACAUCAGAUGGAUUUAAUAUCCAACUGAUAUGCCAACCGCCGAACUCGCCGGAUACAAAUGUCAAUGAUCUAGGAUUUUUCAGGGUCAAUUCAGUCACUACAUGAUGACAAACAGGCUAAUUGUGUAGAUGAUUUGCUCAACAACGUGAAAGAUGCAUUUGAAGAGCUUGAGCCACAUAAGUUAAACAACGUUUUCCUCACACUUCAGGGUUGCUACCAUGAAAUCAUAAAAUGCAGGGGCAACAACAACUACAAGAUUCCACAUAUCAAUAAGGAAAGACUCUUAAGACUUGGAGUUCUCCCAGAAUGUUUGGAGGUGGAAGAACAGCUUGUAAGAGAUUGUUUGGAUGAGUUAAGGCAGCAGCAAAUUGAACAAGGCACAAUCUACAACCUUGAUCAACUAGUCGACGGACUACAACAGGUGGUUUUGAUGGAUUAGCAAGUAUGUUGACAAUUUUUUUUGCUAGCAUGUUUACAAACUCAAACUCUGCACUAUAUGUUUGUAAACAUUUUUGUAAUGUCUCAGCUUUUGAAAACAUGUUUUUUUUUCAUCAUUGACACCAAUUCAGCCCUGAAUUCAACCUCCUAAACUAGGAAAUACAUAGUGGUGGCUAGAAUUACAGGAGCUGCACCCUCAGACAUUAUGAAAUUGUUGUCAUCACAGGGUUUAUUAUUUCAGCCAACAUAACAAACAGAGGGGAACCUCCUAAACUAGGGAAAACCUAGUGGUGGCUGCAACCUCCUAAUGCUUCAUCAUUUCAUUCAUUUUCAGCCAAUUAAUAGCAUUAAUAGCAAACCAACAGCAAGAAAUAAUUCACCAGAAUGCAAGGCAUCACCAGCCAUCAAACACCAACACAUAGGAAAUCAGAGGCAUCACCAGCCAUCAAACACCAAUAAACACCAACAAAUAUGACAUGCAAAGGCAUCACCAGCCAUCACCAACCCAUAAGCAACUAAGGAACAGAAUCACCUGAUUAGAUUAGGUCUAAGGCAGCCGGGCAGUAGCGAGAUAGCAAUCGAAGG
RNAcentral lists this long non-coding RNA (2669 nucleotides) under Salvia miltiorrhiza (redroot sage). RNAcentral's name for it is "long non-coding RNA (SMIL_LNC008302)". Lineage: Eukaryota; Viridiplantae; Streptophyta; Magnoliopsida; Lamiales; Lamiaceae. The record is from RNAcentral.